RNAcentral lists this ribosomal RNA (515 nucleotides) under uncultured bacterium. RNAcentral describes it as "partial 16S ribosomal RNA". It matches the Rfam family "Bacterial small subunit ribosomal RNA", at positions 28 to 523 of the family's 1533-position model. The record is from RNAcentral.
GAUGAACGCUGGCGGCGUGCCUAAUACAUGCAAGUCGAGCGAAUGGAUUAAGAGCUUGCUCUUAUGAAGUUAGCGGCGGACGGGUGAGUAACACGUGGGUAACCUGCCCAUAAGACUGGGAUAACUCCGGGAAACCGGGGCUAAUACCGGAUAACAUUUUGAACCGCAUGGUUCGAAAUUGAAAGGCGGCUUCGGCUGUCACUUAUGGAUGGACCCGCGUCGCAUUAGCUAGUUGGUGAGGUAACGGCUCACAAAGGCAACGAUGCGUAGCCGACCUGGGAGGGUGAGCGGCCACACUGGGAUUGAGACACGGCCCAGACUCCUACGGGAGGCAGCAGUAGGGAAUCUUCCGCAAUGGACGAAAGUCUGGCGGAGCAGCGCCGCGUGAGUGAUGAAUGCUUUCGGGUCGUAAAACUCUGUUGUUAGGGAAGAACAAGUGCUAGUUGAAUAAGCUGGCACCUUGACGGUACCUAACCAGAAAGCCACGGCUAACUACGUGCCAGCCGCCGCCGUAA